Molecule: ribosomal RNA, 253 nt
Filed under: uncultured bacterium
Lineage: Bacteria
Description: partial 16S ribosomal RNA
Rfam family: Bacterial small subunit ribosomal RNA
Source: RNAcentral
UACGGAGGGUGCGAGCGUUGUUCGGAAUUACUGGGCGUAAAGCGCGUGUAGGCGGUUGAGCAAGUCAGAUGUGAAAGCCUUCCGCUUAACGGAAGAAGUGCAUUUGAAACUACUCGGCUGGAGUACGGGAGAGGAGAGUGGAAUUCCCGGUGUAGAGGUGAAAUUCGUAGAUAUCGGGAGGAACACCAGUGGCGAAGGCGGCUCUCUGGUCCGAUACUGACGCUGAGACGCGAAAGCGUGGGGAGCAAACAGG